RNAcentral lists this ribosomal RNA (874 nucleotides) under Pseudoophiobolus mathieui. RNAcentral describes it as "eukaryotic LSU rRNA". It matches the Rfam family "Eukaryotic large subunit ribosomal RNA", at positions 43 to 936 of the family's 3401-position model. Lineage: Eukaryota; Fungi; Ascomycota; Dothideomycetes; Pleosporales; Phaeosphaeriaceae. The record is from RNAcentral.
UCAAUAAGCGGAGGAAAAGAAACCAACAGGGAUUGCCCUAGUAACGGCGAGUGAAGCGGCAACAGCUCAAAUUUGAAAUCUGGCUCUUUUAGGGUCCGAGUUGUAAUUUGCAGAGGGCGCUUUGGCGUUGGCAGCGGUCCAAGUUCUUUGGAACAGGACGUCACAGAGGGUGAGAAUCCCGUACGUGGUCGCUAUCCUUCGCCGUGUAAAGCCCCUUCGACGAGUCGAGUUGUUUGGGAAUGCAGCUCUAAAUGGGAGGUAAAUUUCUUCUAAAGCUAAAUAUUGGCCAGAGACCGAUAGCGCACAAGUAGAGUGAUCGAAAGAUGAAAAGCACUUUGGAAAGAGAGUCAAAUAGCACGUGAAAUUGUUGAAAGGGAAGCGCUUGCAGCCAGACUUGCCUGUAGUUGCUUAUCCGGACUUUUGUCCGGUGCACUCUUCUAUAGGCAGGCCAGCAUCAGUUUAGGCGGUUAGAUAAAGGUCUCUGUCACGUACCUCUCUUCGGGGAGGCCUUAUAGGGGAGACGACAUGUAACCAGCUUAGACUGAGGUCCGCGCAUCUGCUAGGAUGCUGGCGUAAUGGCUGUAAGCGGCCCGUCUUGAAACACGGACCAAGGAGUCUAACAUCUAUGCGAGUGUUUGGGUGUCAAGCCCAGACGCGUAAUGAAAGUGAACGGAGGUAGGAACCCUUUGGGUGCACUAUCGACCGAUCCUGAUGUCUUCGGAAGGAUUUGAGUAAGAGCAUGGCUGUUGGGACCCGAAAGAUGGUGAACUAUGCUUGAAUAGGGUGAAGCCAGAGGAAACUCUGGUGGAGGCUCGCAGCGGUUCUGACGUGCAAAUCGAUCGUCAAAUUUGGGCAUAGGGGCGAAAGACUAAUC